This 847-nucleotide ribosomal RNA is filed under the name uncultured Comamonadaceae bacterium. RNAcentral's name for it is "bacterial SSU rRNA". It matches the Rfam family "Bacterial small subunit ribosomal RNA", at positions 57 to 900 of the family's 1533-position model. Lineage: Bacteria; Pseudomonadati; Pseudomonadota; Betaproteobacteria; Burkholderiales; Comamonadaceae. The record is from RNAcentral.
GCAAGUCGAACGGCAGCACGGGAGCAAUCCUGGUGGCGAGUGGCGAACGGGUGAGUAAUAUAUCGGAACGUGCCCAGUCGUGGGGGAUAACGCAGCGAAAGCUGUGCUAAUACCGCAUACGAUCUAUGGAUGAAAGCGGGGGGCCGUAAGGCCUCGCGCGAUUGGAGCGGCCGAUAUCAGAUUAGCUUGUUGGUGGGGUAAAAGCCCACCAAGGCGACGAUCUGUAGCUGGUCUGAGAGGACGACCAGCCACACUGGAACUGAGACACGGUCCAGACUCCUACGGGAGGCAGCAGUGGGGAAUUUUGGACAAUGGGCGCAAGCCUGAUCCAGCAAUGCCGCGUGCAGGAAGAAGGCCUUCGGGUUGUAAACUGCUUUUGUACGGAACGAAACGGCUCUUUCUAAUAAAGAGGGCUAAUGACGGUACCGUAAGAAUAAGCACCGGCUAACUACGUGCCAGCAGCCGCGGUAAUACGUAGGGUGCGAGCGUUAAUCGGAAUUACUGGGCGUAAAGCGUGCGCAGGCGGUUAUAUAAGACAGAUGUGAAAUCCCCGGGCUCAACCUGGGACCUGCAUUUGUGACUGUAUAGCUAGAGUACGGUAGAGGGGGAUGGAAUUCCGCGUGUAGCAGUGAAAUGCGUAGAUAUGCGGAGGAACACCGAUGGCGAAGGCAAUCCCCUGGACCUGUACUGACGCUCAUGCACGAAAGCGUGGGGAGCAAACAGGAUUAGAUACCCUGGUAGUCCACGCCCUAAACGAUGUCAACUGGUUGUUGGGUCUUCACUGACUCAGUAACGAAGCUAACGCGUGAAGUUGACCGCCUGGGGAGUACGGCCGCAAGGUUGAAAC